AAAUAUUUUUGCACACUAAUAAACCUAUAUUCAGUUGUAUUAAUUUUUGUGGCAUCAUCGGAUUUACUCUGCUCUUCGCCGCCUCACAAGAUCUUGGCCAGAAAUUUUCCAGGUAACUAUGGAGAAGAACAAGGAGAAGGAGAAGAAGAAAGAAGGUUCGGUUAGUGUGAAAGCAAUAGAUGAUGUGUGGAACUGUGGGACUCCACUCUAUGAUGCUUAUGAAUUAACCUCUAUUGCAUAUAUCAUCGACAAGCAUAUGAUCACUUCUCAAUUUCACAGAGAGGAAACUGCUCCGAGGAACAAGAAGAAGAAGACGACAACUCGAUACUCUAAACUCUUUUCUUGGAUUUGUUUCAGCAACAGAUAAUGUACUAAUAGAUAUCAUAUGAGUUCAAAAAUCUUGUUUGUUAUUACUGUAUUAUUUUUCCUUUUGGAGGGGAAUCCAACCUUCUUUUACUAAUUAGAGAUUUAAAAAAUAGAAUUCAUGCCUUCAUGAUAA
This is a long non-coding RNA of Salvia hispanica, 499 nucleotides long. RefSeq lists it as uncharacterized. Lineage: Eukaryota; Viridiplantae; Streptophyta; Magnoliopsida; Lamiales; Lamiaceae. The record is from RefSeq and is a predicted model, not a curated record.